GAUGAAGAACGCAGCGAAAUGCGAUAAGUAGUGUGAAUUGCAGAAUUCAGUGAAUCAUCGAAUCUUUGAACGCACAUUGCACCCCUUGGUAUUCCAUGGGGCAUGCCUGUUCGAGCGUCAUUUGUACCUUCAAGCUUUGCUUGGUGUUGGGUGUUUGUCUCGCCUUUGCGUGUAGACUCGCCUUAAAAUAAUUGGCAGCCGGCGUAUUGAUUUCGGAGCGCAGUACAUCUCGCGCUUUGCACUCAUAACGACAGCGUCCAAAAGUACAUUUUACACUCUUGACCUCGGAUCAGGUAGGGAUACCCGCUGAACUUAAGCAUAUCAAUAAGCGGAGGA
RNAcentral lists this unclassified non-coding RNA (336 nucleotides) under soil metagenome. RNAcentral's name for it is "partial contains 5.8S ribosomal RNA, internal transcribed spacer 2, and large subunit ribosomal RNA". The stretch from base 1 to 120 matches the Rfam family "5.8S ribosomal RNA", at positions 35 to 154 of the family's 154-position model. The record is from RNAcentral.